AUGAUCUAAGAGUUUGAUCCUGGCUCAGGACGAACGCUGGCGGCGUGCCUAAUACAUGCAAGUCGCGCGGCUUGAUUCAGAGCUUGCUCUGAGGAUGGCAGCGGCGGACGGGUGAGUAACACGUGGGCAACCUGCCUGACAGACCGGGAUAACGCCUGGAAACGGGUGCUAAUA
RNAcentral lists this ribosomal RNA (174 nucleotides) under Effusibacillus lacus. RNAcentral's name for it is "partial 16S ribosomal RNA". It matches the Rfam family "Bacterial small subunit ribosomal RNA", at positions 1 to 168 of the family's 1533-position model. Lineage: Bacteria; Bacillati; Bacillota; Bacilli; Caryophanales; Alicyclobacillaceae. The record is from RNAcentral.